This is a long non-coding RNA of Apodemus sylvaticus (European woodmouse), 442 nucleotides long. RefSeq lists it as uncharacterized. The transcript has 3 exons. The record is from RefSeq and is a predicted model, not a curated record. Lineage: Eukaryota; Metazoa; Chordata; Mammalia; Rodentia; Muridae.
UUUCAGAGGUGUCUCCAUGGUAGCCAUUGUAAUAGACCUAAACACAGGCACACAUUUUAAGCUCUGCACUUAGAGAUGGCACACAAUGACAAGAAGAAGUAAGACCCGUACGCCAGCACGGCAACGUUCUCUUCCUAAGGUGGAACCUAGAGAUGAUGAGAAGAUCUAUUUAUUUAGACUUUUCUGAGCUGAUGUCACACCCGGACACUGUCAUGUAAUGAAGAGCACUACACCAAACGGCUUCACAGAGAUCUCUGGCUUCUAAGUCAGGAAACCGAGGCACAUACACACACAAGGUGUUUGAGUUCUUGGCGCACAGUACAGAGUACAGAGGUAUACCCCAACCAGUUGGAUAGACUGGUGGCUUCUUAAUCCCCCCACAGUAAGUCAUGCUUGCUAACUGAUUCCCACUUAUAUUCCCUUACAGAAAAACAAGCUUUUG